AGGGAGUCCUUUCUCUCCUGAAUUUAGCGGUCCUGGGUAAAUAUUGAUUUGCCCCGAGUUUACCUUCUUACAGCCUGACCAUUUGCAGACUAAGGAACCAACCUCUGUGAAGACUUGAUUUCUGGUUACUUUGGAGCCCUUUUCAUCCGUCCCCCCACUCCUUCCUCCCUCUAAGUGGCAUUGUAAAACUCAACAGUGACAAAGAGACGAAGUACGGUUCCAGGCACCAAUUCUCGGAGAGGGCAGUUUACAUACAGGUCAGACACGGCUGGAGGCCAAGGUCAAGUUGAAAGUUGCUGUCUAGUCAGCGUGAGAAACUACAAUGAAAGCCCAGAGACAGAGCCGACUGCCUACCUCCCCUCG
RNAcentral lists this long non-coding RNA (363 nucleotides) under Mus caroli (Ryukyu mouse). RNAcentral's name for it is "sRNA (MGP_CAROLIEiJ_G0008814.1)". It matches the Rfam family "HOXA transcript at the distal tip, conserved region 2". Lineage: Eukaryota; Metazoa; Chordata; Mammalia; Rodentia; Muridae. The record is from RNAcentral.